CUAGCUGCGUGAAUUAAUGUGAAUUGCAGAACACAUUGAACAUCGACACCUUGAACGCACAUGGCGGCUUCGGGUUUACCCCGGGGCCACGCCCGUCUGAGGGUCGGUUGGCUAAAGCGAUCACUACCUUGUCCGUAAAUUUUUUUUUUGUCUGGUUUCUAUCAUUUCUCGGGCUCUCGCGAGAUUGUGAAUGAGACUGGUACAUCAAAAUAAUUUUGGUAGCGCAUUGGGCCUUCGUGAAUAGCGUACGGUUAGCGCCCUUGCUCUCUGCGCUUCGUCGCAUGUUCUCGUGGCUUUAAGUACAGGAUGCGCCGUCGUCCUAUCUGUCCUACGAGAUGCUGCUCGCCUCGUCGGUGGUCUCUCGCUGCGCGACAGGUACCCGGCUCGUGCUUUAAAAGCGAGCUGUACGGACCUGGGACGCGCGUGAAAUGUUCGGGAGAUGGGCCGCAUAGCAGCGAUUCGUUCGGACUUACGGCGUCCGUCUUACACAUUAAUUUGUGUGGCGUGAAACAUUUUUUAUCCGACCUCAGAUCGGACGAGAUUACCCGCUGAAUUUAAGCAUAUUACUAAGCGGAGGAAAAGAAACUAACAAGGAUUUCCCUAGUAACGG
The sequence is a ribosomal RNA, 610 nucleotides long. The stretch from base 522 to 610 matches the Rfam family "Eukaryotic large subunit ribosomal RNA", at positions 1 to 89 of the family's 3401-position model.